Molecule: ribosomal RNA, 325 nt
Filed under: Candidatus Thalassarchaeaceae archaeon
Lineage: Archaea; Methanobacteriati; Thermoplasmatota; Candidatus Poseidoniia; Candidatus Poseidoniales; Candidatus Thalassarchaeaceae
Description: partial 23S ribosomal RNA
Rfam family: Archaeal large subunit ribosomal RNA
Source: RNAcentral
AUGCUGGUGUAAAGACGCCAGUAAGUGGAUUGCUAGGCUUGAGGAGAGAUGAAGGACGUGGCAAGCUGCGAUAAGCCCGGGGUAGGCGCACGCGACCUAUGAUCCCGGGAUGUCCGAAUGAGAAUCUUGUGUUUACACACUCCGUUACAAUGGUGGCGGAGAUCGAACCGUCGGAAUUGAAGCAUCUUAGUACCCGCAGGAAAAGAAAUCAAUUGAGAUCCCCUAAUUAGCGGCGAGCGAAACGGGGUCUGCCCAAACCGAAUCCUGUAAAGUGAUUUGUAGGAGAUGUGGGGUAUGCUGGCAGUGUUUGCUUCUCUCUAUUUUU